RNAcentral lists this long non-coding RNA (320 nucleotides) under Vombatus ursinus (common wombat). RNAcentral describes it as "lncRNA (ENSVURG00010005085.1)". The record is from RNAcentral. Lineage: Eukaryota; Metazoa; Chordata; Mammalia; Diprotodontia; Vombatidae.
AUUUCCUUAAGAAAUUCUGCUGACAUCAUUGACUUUUCUCAGAUUCCUUUCCUUCGGGCUCCCUCUCCUCUCACUUUCUCCUUUCUCUAGUUCAUUCAGGACCCCGAGUUGGCUGUUAAUUCCUUGUUCUGUUAUGACAACAUCUAAAAAGAAGUCUGCAUAUAUUGAUCUUUGCAGGUUCAGCCUAGCCAGAUAUGGAGAGACUUAUCACCUGAUAAUGUUGGAAAUGUGACCUUUGACUUGGCUAUCUGCACUCUAAAUGUGAGACACAUAUCCAAUAACCAUUAUAUGGUUAUACUCAUGGUAUAGCUGUAUCAUAU